AUAGCUAGCUGGAAAUGUAGCGUAUAGGUUUGACCAAUUUUGGUCGUACACUUUACAAAACCCAAAGUCUACCUUGAACGGGGCCACGGACCAUAGAAGGUGUUAGUCCUGUACGGGUUGUGUUUGUGUACGAUCGGUUAGACCUUAGAGUCGGGUUGCCUGAGAUCGCAGCCCAAAUAUGGUGGUAGACUUCAUCUAAGGCUAAAUAUGGCCACGAGACCGAUAGCAAACAAGUACCGUGAGGGAAAGUUGCAAAGAACUUUGAAGAGAGAGUUCAAGAGGGCGUGAAACCGCUGAGAAUGAAGCGGAUAGAGUCGACGAAACUUAAUCAGUAUUCAACCGUCACGCCAAACGGUUCGACGCGUACGUGACGUUGUGUUGACUGAAAUACGUUCGCAUAGCGUUCAUCGUUGCGUGUUGUUCAAAACUAAACUGUAUGGUGCGAGAAUGGCGGCGUACUUGCUGGUUGUAUGCAUCGAGAGCUUCGUAUCGCGUACGAAGAAACUCCUAUUGAUAGAGGCUCGUUCGAAAGACUUCACGUCUUCUCCUACGAUAACCUAUUGUGGGUUGACGCGUAUCGUAUAUGAAGUUUGCGUCUACGCGCGCAACUAACAACCUCGCGUUGUUCUUGCGUUUCUCGUCGCGAAUUCGCGCCUCGAACGAGRCGUGAUCGCGCACGUGAAGGCGCUCAGUCAAGUUGCGUGUCUCGAUGUGAACGUCGGUCACCUAUCCGACCCGUCUUGAAACACGGACCAAGGAGUCUAGCGUAUACGCGAGUCAUUGGGUGUGCGAAUACCUAAAGGCGUAAUGAAAGUGAGUGCUGUUAUUAGUGCAGCUAUUAUGUGAUUUGCGAUGUGCUUGUCGUGUCGCAAAGCAGCAUAAUCCCGUCUUAAUUACUUGUAAUGAGGCGGAGAAUGAGCGUAUGCGCUGGGACCCGAAAGAUGGUGAACUAUGCCUGAGCAGGAUGAAGC
This 971-nucleotide ribosomal RNA is filed under the name Procamallanus pseudolaeviconchus. Its description in RNAcentral is "partial large subunit ribosomal RNA". It matches the Rfam family "Eukaryotic large subunit ribosomal RNA", at positions 129 to 852 of the family's 3401-position model. The record is from RNAcentral. Lineage: Eukaryota; Metazoa; Nematoda; Chromadorea; Rhabditida; Camallanidae.